UACGUAGGGACCAAGCGUUGUUCGGAUUUACUGGGCGUAAAGGGCGCGUAGGCGGCGUGUUAAGUCAGCUGUGAAAUCUCCAAGCUUAACUUGGAACGGUCAGCUGAUACUGAUGUGCUAGAGUGCAGAAGGGGCAAUCGGAAUUCUUGGUGUAGCGGUGAAAUGCGUAGAUAUCAAGAGGAACACCUGAGGUGAAGACGGGUUGCUGGGCCAACACUGACGCUGAGGCGCGAAAGCCAGGGGAGCAAACGGG
Molecule: ribosomal RNA, 253 nt
Filed under: uncultured bacterium
Lineage: Bacteria
Description: partial 16S ribosomal RNA
Rfam family: Bacterial small subunit ribosomal RNA
Source: RNAcentral